Molecule: long non-coding RNA, 1402 nt
Filed under: Citrus x clementina
Lineage: Eukaryota; Viridiplantae; Streptophyta; Magnoliopsida; Sapindales; Rutaceae
Description: Citrus clementina (C. clementina) long non-coding RNA (CCLE_LNC004686)
Source: RNAcentral
AAGAAAGAUAAAAUUAAAAAUUUAAAAAUGAAAUAGUCAUAAUCUUUACCUAUGAUAUUGUAAAUUUUUAGAAUUGACAAGGAUAAAAUUGUCAAAAAAUAGGGUUUGUACUUUUUGCACCAAUAAUUUUGGUUUUUUUUAGUUAUUUUUGUUUAUAAACUAUUGUUAAGGGUAAUAUUGUCUUUGCACGGUCAACUAACGGUCAAUGUUAAACUUAACUGACGGUAGGGGGUUUUUUACAAAUAAAUCAAUUCUUACCAUCUACUUGCAACAAGUCUAAACCUCAGGGGAGGUUUUUAAAAAUUACCCAUUAAAAAAUAUAUAAUAAAAGGUUUUUAAAAGUUUAGUAGAGUUAAGAUCAAGAGAGGAUUAUAUUCCUUCUAUUUAUUGCAAUUGCACAAGAUAAUUGUUUUUUUUUUUCCCUCAAUGAAAGAUAAUAGUUGUACUUUUAGUUAAGAGCGCUGCUAUAUACCUCGAAAGUUAACCUCGAAUUUGCACCCCGAAUUUGCCAAAACGGUGGGUUUUAAAACGGUCACUUUUGCUUUUUUAUUUCACGUGUUUGAGAAAACCGGAGCUGUCUCUAUGUACGUGUUUCUCUUAAUUUUUAAUUGCACGUGUUUGAGAAGACCGAAGCAUGUAUUCCUCUUCGUUUCAACCCAACACUCAAGAAUAUAUGCAGGCUCCUUGGAAUUGGAAUUACAAUCCAGUCCUUUGCCGUCAGAUUUAUUUACGUUAACGCCCGCCAUCCCAUGACGGUAAAUGCCGCCUGCUUCCAUCCCCAGCUCCACUGGCACUGCCGCCGACUCCAACCAUUUUUUUUCCACAAAUAAUUUUACAUAAAUUCAAACUUCCGAAUUUCGUUGAUGAAAUUAACUUAUGAUUAAUAAUAUAUAAUAAUUGCCAAUUUCUACAACAUAUAAGUUCGUUAAGAACGUACCAGUUUUUCACAUAACUUGUCCGCGGAAUGCUCCCGAGUUACCAAUUUACCAUCCUUUUUUUAAUUUCUUAAAUUCUUAACGAUUCUUCUUUUAAAAAAAAAAUUCAACUUCAAAUUAUAAUAACGAAUUAAUGAUCCAAUUCAGGGAAACAACUUUGAGGGACCACCAAUAAGAAAUGAUCACGUAAUCAAAUAUUUUGGCUGGCAAGUAUUGUCGAUUCUUUUGCUAAAGAGAUCGUCAAAAGCAAAGGCUAAACGAGAGAGAUUUUGUGGGUGUGUGAGAGACUGAGAGAUAGAUUUUGCAGAGAGAGAUUGUCAAAACGGUACGUUUUCUAUUUGCCAAAACGGUGCGUUUCAAUUCGGGGUGCAAUUCGGGAUUUAAAAUCGGGAGAAAUAGUUUUUUUUCCUUUAGUUAAUAAAUGUCGUUUGGAGCGACCGGAUAUUAUUUCAAAAUCCACUUUACUA